GUUCGAUAAAUUAUUUCAAUAUAUUAUUGUUCAAAACGUAAUAAUAAUUGCAAAUAAUUGUAAUGGCCGAGAUUAUAUGAGAAGUGGAUCGAUAAUAGCUAAUAAGUAAUUAAAAUAACUUUAUUCGAAAUUUUUAACUACUUACUUCUUCAACAGAUUAAUGCCCAACUCUGUUCGUUGGCCAUUACAGUUGAUCCGUAUAAUCUCGGUUGUUUGCCAUUACAAUUAUUUGCGAUUAUUAUUACGUUUUGAAUAAUAAAUUAUUAAAUUAACUUAUCGAACUUUAACUUUAUUCGUAACUUCGACUAUUAAAUACAAUAUAUUGUAUAUCGCAUAUGUUAAUCAAACAAGUAGUGUAAGUAGAUAAUAGUCAGACAAGAGGUAGUGUAGACUCAUAAUAAUCAGACAAAGAGUAAAUACAGACAUGUUCUGCUCGAACAAGGAUUGAUAACAAUAAUGUUUAAUUAAUUAAUCGAUUAAAAUUAUCUUAUAUACCAUUUUAUUAAACACACAUUAAUUAUACUGUCUGAAAAAUAUCAUUCCUUUCCCUUAAUUUUUUCGAAUUUGCAUCAUUGUCAUUGGAUAAUUUUAAAUUCCCUUUGGAAGAUACAAAUUUCACACGAUAUCAACACGAUAUAUCCCUUCAAGAAAUUAAACUCGGAGAGAAUUAAUUCUCUUUAGAGAAGUAAAAUUAGAAGUGAAAUCGAUCGGAUCGGACAGCUUAGUAGUAGAUGCUUAAAAGUGAACAGAAUUGUGUGUGGAGGGGGGGAGGGGAGAGGGGCAUCGAUCGAGAUACGGGCUUCCAAAGGAACAAAUUCAAACCUCCCAAUUAUCGGAACGGAUUGGCCAGAGUUCCAAGUGCACGCAACUUGAGCCUUGAUCGGGGUGGAUAUCGAGGCUGGAAACGGAAUCAAACAAGAGGCAGAAAUUGGCGCAAAUAGAGUUUCAAAGAUGGCGUGGUGGAAUAUAGGGAUAUUGAUAUCGAUACGAUGGAUAGAACGAGAUAUAUAUCGAGUCCUCUAUAUCGAUUUAUCGAUAUAAUCAUAUUUUUCUCGUUGCCACAACGUGAACUAUCUUUUCAUCUAUGUCAAAAGGUUGAUCUUGGAGAAGAUAUGCCGGUUAUAGUAUUAUAUAUAUCGAUCUAUCGAUAUACUUGUGUACAGUAUGGAGGGAGGAAUUACAUAUGUUUGUGGCUUAGCUACUUACAUUUUAGACGCUUUGCUCCGAUUCCUCAUGUAAAUUGCGUCGUUUCCGGUUGACGGAUCACAGUCAGACGCGAAACGCUGCCUCUCCUAUGUAUAAGACACGCUGCAAUCGAUUUUUAACCUUUCGUUCUCACGCUCACCAUUUUCUUACUUCGGCCAGUCGAAGGCCCGCCUUCAGUUUUCAUCAAUUUCCAUUUUAAACAUUUCAA
Long non-coding RNA from Apis mellifera (honey bee), 1414 nucleotides. RefSeq lists it as uncharacterized. The record is from RefSeq and is a predicted model, not a curated record. The transcript has 3 exons. NCBI's taxonomy places the organism in Eukaryota, Metazoa, Arthropoda, Insecta, Hymenoptera, Apidae.